CAGAAGUCACCACCUCUUCCACUGCACCAUCACUCACAUGAAGAUCUGGUGGACUCUAAAACUUUUCAAAGAUACCCUUCACAGUCCAACC
Oryctolagus cuniculus (rabbit) is the source of this 91-nucleotide non-coding RNA. Lineage: Eukaryota; Metazoa; Chordata; Mammalia; Lagomorpha; Leporidae. The record is from Rfam.